Molecule: ribosomal RNA, 280 nt
Filed under: [Candida] sp.
Lineage: Eukaryota; Fungi; Ascomycota; Saccharomycetes; Saccharomycetales
Description: Candida sp. (in: Saccharomycetales) partial 28S ribosomal RNA
Rfam family: Eukaryotic large subunit ribosomal RNA
Source: RNAcentral
UUUGACCUCAAAUCAGGUAGGACUACCCGCUGAACUUAAGCAUAUCAAUAAGCGGAGGAAAAGAAACCAACAGGGAUUGCCUCAGUAGCGGCGAGUGAAGCGGCAAAAGCUCAAAUUUGAAAUCUGGCGUCUUUGGCGUCCGAGUUGUAAUUUGAAGAAGGUAUCUUUGGGCCCGGCUCUUGUCUAUGUUCCUUGGAACAGGACGUCACAGAGGGUGAGAAUCCCGUGCGAUGAGAUGACCCGGGUCUGUGUAAAGUUCCUUCGACGAGUCGAGUUGUUU